Molecule: long non-coding RNA, 618 nt
Organism: Cololabis saira (Pacific saury)
Lineage: Eukaryota; Metazoa; Chordata; Actinopteri; Beloniformes; Belonidae
Exons: 4
Source: RefSeq, a predicted model, not a curated record
AGCUGCAGGUGUGUCCGGGCAGAGCGGGUCCUCUAAUGGCAACCAAGCAAAUCAACCUCGAUUUCAAACACAACAGUACUUCGGCGGAUGGGCUUCCAGCAGGUCGAGGAGAAGGCCUAAAUCCCAGCACCAUCCCAGUUUCAACAAAGAUGUCAUCCUGCUACCCCAUUCUGCAUGGGAUGAAGUUUGUAAACACAAAACAAAAAGAAAACUUCAUGAGAAUGGCUUAAUUCUAAGCGCCUUUGAGAUAAUGAAAACAUGAGACAACAGGACAGUCAUUGCAGAGAUUCGAGAGGCAUUCCAAAACAAAAUUCCCGAGGAUGUCAGUGUUGAACUGUUGAUGGGAUGUGGCAACAAAUUGGUGUCACCAAAGCUGCGCGAGGGCCAGGAGUUGAAUGGCUUCAUUAUCCAUAAAGUCUUUAAAGCAAAAGCGUUGUACAUACGGCCAGGAAGGGAUCUUCCAUUUCAGUUUGACAGCACAGAUUCAGAUGACUGUGUGGAGAUUAACACCACAGUAGCAUCCAACAACUUCCAAGCUGGAGGCUAUAUGUGUACACGGUCCAGGGGAAACCAAAUUUCAACUCAGCCUCCUGCCACCCCACAUGCUUCCAGUGACAC